AGUGGCAGACGGGUGAGUAAUGUAUAGGAAUCUACCUAGUAGUACGGAAUAAUUGUUGGAAACGGCAACUAAUACCGUAUACGCCCUACGGGGGAAAGAUUUAUCGCUAUUAGAUGAGCCUAUAUUAGAUUAGCUAGUUGGUAAGGUAAUGGCUUACCAAGGCAAUGAUCUAUAGCUGAUCUGAGAGGAUGAUCAGCCACACUGGAACUGAGAUACGGUCCAGACUCCUACGGGAGGCAGCAGUGGGGAAUAUUGGACAAUGGGCGAAAGCCUGAUCCAGCCAUGCCGCAUGAGUGAAGAAGGCCUUUGGGUUGUAAAGCUCUUUCGGUGAGGAAGAUAAUGACGGUACUCACAGAAGAAGUCCUGGCUAACUCCGUGCCAGCAGCCGCGGUAAUACGGAGAGGGCUAGCGUUAUUCGGAAUUAUUGGGCGUAAAGAGCGCGUAGGCUGGUUAGUAAGUUAAAAGUGAAAUCCCAAAGCUCAACUUUGGAAUUGCUUUUAAAACUGCUAACCUAGAGAUUGAAAGAGGAUAGAGGAAUUCCUAGUGUAGAGGUGAAAUUCGUAAAUAUUANGAGGAACACCAGUGGCGAANGCGUCUAUCUGGUUCAAAUCUGACGCUGNNNGCGAAGG
Molecule: ribosomal RNA, 629 nt
Filed under: uncultured Wolbachia sp.
Lineage: Bacteria; Pseudomonadati; Pseudomonadota; Alphaproteobacteria; Rickettsiales; Anaplasmataceae
Description: bacterial SSU rRNA
Rfam family: Bacterial small subunit ribosomal RNA
Source: RNAcentral